Molecule: small RNA, 77 nt
Filed under: Xanthomonas hortorum
Lineage: Bacteria; Pseudomonadati; Pseudomonadota; Gammaproteobacteria; Lysobacterales; Lysobacteraceae
Also listed under: 6 other names
Description: sX9 sRNA
Rfam family: Xanthomonas sRNA sX9
Source: RNAcentral
AUGUACAACUCGUACAUGCCCGCUCCUUCGCCUCGUCCGCACCCACCUGCACGACUAAUCGCUACGUUUUGUCAGCC